RNAcentral lists this long non-coding RNA (2034 nucleotides) under Canis lupus dingo (dingo). Its description in RNAcentral is "lncRNA (ENSCAFG00020026798.1)". The record is from RNAcentral. Lineage: Eukaryota; Metazoa; Chordata; Mammalia; Carnivora; Canidae.
CCACAAGGGGUGGCGAGGCAAGGCAGGGAGGAGGAGGCCGGGAUUUAGUUCUGGCUCACUGAUGGUCGUGAGGCUCAGACAGGUCACUUCACGACUGGAUGUCUGUGUUUGUAUCUGUAAGGUUGUUUGAACCGCAUCCUUCCAGCUAAACACUCUAGCCAGUUCCAAAUACCUGUGACCUUCUUGGUUUGCCAUUUCUGGCACAGUUGACAAAGAUUCUUACAUCGUUAUUAAGGACGAGUACUAAACUCUUCACUUGGUGUUACUGUGCCUUUAAGAACUAUGAUAUAUAUUCUCCUUAAAUGCGAAUUCUGUGUUAAGAAUGUUUUCUGGACUCUUCUCAGAUAGUAAGUCUAUAAACUAUGAAUUACCUUUAAAACUCAGUAUUUUUCUAAACCAGAUACUAGAUUUUUCCCCUUUUCUCAAGAAUUCUUUUUUUUUUUUUUUAAGACUUACUUAUUUGGGAGAGAAAGUGAGAGAGAGAGCAUGAGUAGGACAAGGAGGGGGAGAAGCAGACUCCCCACUGAGCAGGGAGCUUGAUGCAGGCCUCAAUCCCAGGACCCCAGGAUCAUGGAACCGAUAGACGUAUAUAGAUAGAAGUAUUCUACUUUGGAACUAGGGGCAAUCUUCAAUAUUAUUUUUUCCCCAAAUAUAUCAGAAUGUACUUGACUUACUCUUAAAUGCAUUUUUCACUAAUAUGGCAUCUUCAUUUAUCUUAAGGGACAUAUUUGGAGAAGACUGUGUAAGCGUAAAAGAUGGUUCUGUUCUCAGCGUCACAGUGGACGGGAAAACUGCUAAUAUAAACUUGGAGACCCGGACUGUAGAGUGCGAAGAAGGAAGCGAGGACGAUGAGUCCCUCCGAGAGAUGGUGGAGCUCGCCGCGCAGAGACUGUACGAGGCCCUCACACCGGUCCACUGACACCUCGAGGUCUCUCUUAAGUACUCCUAAAUUACCAACUAAUUUGCCCAGGAUUCCUGAACUCCUAAAUAAAAGGCCUGUUAUUUCAGAAUGCAUUGAUUCUGCUUCCAGGCACGUGCACAGCUGCCCUGGAAACCUUAAAGAUCGGCUCCUAGCAACUGAACCAGAAUGUUGCGGUGUCCUUUCUAAGGGAAGAAAAUGCAUGAUGGUUUGUAUUUUCUUACCCAUAUUCUGAAUGUGAAUUAAUAGAGAUGAUCACCUAACGCGCCUUUUCUCUUCCUUCCCUCCUGAUCCUCUUGGCAGAUUCCGUAAUUUGUGCAUUUGUAAAAUUACGACUUUCGGGAUUCGGUGAUAUUUUCUUAAUAUCUGCACAUUCAGUUCAGAGAUUCAGACUAAUUUUUUACAGCUAAGUUCAAGGGUAUUCAGCUGUGAGUGGUUGCAUUGCUGUGUGUGGUCAUUAGGCCAGUUUCCUGAAGCACGUGUGGUUCAGACCUGCCAGUUUAACUGGACACAGGAGUUUGGGGUGCAGUCCAGGUGAGCAGGGUGGUGUUGGGGGUCUGCCUGACGCCUCUGCGGGGGGUGGGAGGGCCAGGCACGUGCAGAAGCUCGCUCUCCCCUUCACAGCCCAACUCGAGAGUGGCUCACACUGGCCGGCAAGCUAAAGUGUCCACCAACCACAGCCCCUAAACUCCACCAGCCCUGUUCGUGCUCUUCUCGCCUCACCUCUUGGUGACUUAGAGCCACCGAGCACUCCUUCCCUGCCUCCUAGUGAGAGACCCGAGUGCACAGAUCUGAACUUUUACUUGAAAUGAAAUAUUUCUGUAAGAUACACCACUUUGUCUCUGACUCAAACCAAAGCUCUAAGGGUCACCUUUUGUGUCACGUAAAAGUUUGUUAUCAUAGAUUAUCUUAGAAAGCAAUGUAUAGGGGAUCCCUGGGUGGCUCAGCGGUUUGGCACCUGCCUUUAGCCCAGGGCGUGAUCCUGAGGUCCCAGGAUCGAGUCCCAAAUCGGGCUUCCUGCAUGGAGCCUGCUUUUCCCUCUGACUGUGUUUCUGCCUCUCUCUCUGUGUCUCUCAUGAAUGAAUGAAUAAAUAAAAUCUUUUAAAAAAAAAGCA